UAAAAUAAUCGUUCAUCUUCGAUACUAUAUGUUCAUGUGUAUAUGUAUUGACUGGACAGAUAAGCUUUCUCAUCCACUAUCAGAGAACAGUUACGUCGAUUUCUAGAACGACAACUAUAUUAGAGGUCAUAAAGUCGUAUCUUCGCUUAUUAUUUGCAUAAUAUAACAUUGUACAAUGUUGUCUGGAACACUUUUCGAUAGUAACAAGCACGCAUACACGUGACUUCGUCGGGCUUCUUCGAAUAGUCUAUAAAGUUCAAUUUAACAAGUUUUAUCAUAUAAUAAUUACAAGUUGCUUAGAAGUUUGCAAGUAUCGAUGUUGAAACCUUUACGAUAUUUGUCUACGAGCUGGAUAUUCAAUUCUCGUGUACAUUCGUCGAUUGCUCUAUCUUCCAUACCCUAUCGGUAUAUUACAUGAAAGUGGAAUUGGAUAGAAGCUCUAUUUCAGUAGAUACCAUAACUACAUGUAUUAUGUGUUACCUGAUUGGCUCUAUUAACUGCCACAAGACGGAAAACUGAAAACAUGACGAUACGCUUUAUGGCGAGGAGAAUGUGCGUGAUCUUGACGAACUUGAAGCAAAGAUCAGUUGCUAAUCGCAUCUUUAUAAUCCAAGUUCAAGUCACGUUUAUCAAGUACAAGUGGUUAACAGCGGCUUGAUGCGACUGCGCAUUGACUGUUUUGCUAUCGUUUUGAAGACGGUGAAUAAUAGUCAACGAUGUUUUCAUGUCUGAAUAUGACAGAUGCAAAGUUCUUCGUUAUCGUUUUCUAGAAAAAUGUAUGAAUCAUUUCCCGUGCUAUAAGCCAUUUUUUCCUUCGUUCUCUCAUGCUUCGGUUUGUAAAUUUUCAAUAUAAUAUUCUAUCGACAGAAUUUCAUAAAAAAAAAAUUUUUUACAGAUAAUUGCAGUAUUUUCGAUUUAGUUAAUUUUUCGCGUACUCCCUAUAAACUUGUUUCAGACUUAUAGCUAUUAUUUUUAUGACUAUAAGUAGCUUGUUUUACAAAUAUAACAUAUCGGUAAAACCAGGCUUAAUUCGUUCUUUCCGUUAAAUUAAUACCGUCCACACCAAUGAUGCAUCUAUGUAGAUAUACAUUGCCACUUGAUAAGCGUGACCCGAAUCAGGAAGACGCAAGCGCAAUUCACAUACUUAGUUUUGUCUCAAAGUUUAUAUAAUAUUACACAUCAUGAAGCUCCUUCUUAUUUUUCCAGUUUUCUGCUUUGCCACGCUUAGCAGAGUACACUGUGAAAAGGAUUGUUACAAAGAAAUUUUUGAGCAAUGUGCACGAGAAUUGAAUAUCGCGGACCUACAAGAGCUCGUCAGCACUAUCAAAUGGAAUGUUUUCAGAAUUUCUUGCAAAUACCAAUGACGAUGUGCUGUGUAUGUUUACUUGUAUAUUGAAAAAACAACACAAUUACAACACGACAACGCUUCACGAAGGACUUUUGAAAGCAGUAGACAUAGGCAAGACGAUCCAACUGCUAAUGUCUUUAUUACGUAAGAGAACGAUAUAAUUAUUGCUACUUUUAUUUUGUAGCAUACGAAAAUCACUUCAAGACCACUAAAUUCACGCGUGAUGAUGUAGAAUCCAAGAUAAGUAAUUGUCUUACACAAGAGCGAGAUGAAUGCAAGUUCGUCAAAUGUGUCGAACCAACAAAUUUGCCGUUUAUUGAUGUAUUAACCUAUAUGGCACAAGUGUAAUCUACACAUAUAACGUUUAUUUUCAAGAUAUAAUGAUAAGCGUGAAUUUUAUUU
Molecule: RNA transcript, 1750 nt
Organism: Phymastichus coffea
Lineage: Eukaryota; Metazoa; Arthropoda; Insecta; Hymenoptera; Eulophidae
Exons: 4
Source: RefSeq, a predicted model, not a curated record